This 253-nucleotide ribosomal RNA is filed under the name uncultured bacterium. RNAcentral describes it as "partial 16S ribosomal RNA". It matches the Rfam family "Bacterial small subunit ribosomal RNA", at positions 524 to 776 of the family's 1533-position model. The record is from RNAcentral.
UACGUAGGGUGUAAGCGUUGUCCGGAAUUAUUGGGCGUAAAGAGCUCGUAGGCGGUUCGUCGCGUCGGCUGUGAAAUCCCGAGGCUCAACCUCGGGUCUGCAGUCGAUACGGGCGGACUGGAGUACUGCAGGGGAGACUGGAAUUCCUGGUGUAGCGGUGAAAUGCGCAGAUAUCUGGAAGAACACCGGUGGCGCAAGCGGAUUGCUGGGCCAUAACUGACACUGAGGAACGAAAGCUAGGGGAGCGAAUGGG